Long non-coding RNA from Panicum virgatum (switchgrass), 1111 nucleotides. RefSeq lists it as uncharacterized. The transcript has 2 exons. Lineage: Eukaryota; Viridiplantae; Streptophyta; Magnoliopsida; Poales; Poaceae. The record is from RefSeq and is a predicted model, not a curated record.
UGCGGUUCAUAAAAGGAUUUGCGUCUUGCUUCAUGGGUUUAAUGGUUUGGUACCUGUGGCAAAGGACUCUCAACUGUUAAGGUCGGGCAAAAUUCUUUUUUUUUUACCAAAAAGUUGAGAAAUGGGAGUAGUGUUCGGCUUGUUCUGUGUCUUCACCAGAUUUGAUGAUCCAAUCUUGCGCAAAUCGGGAGAAAGAAAAGACGGAUUCAGAGAGCUGUGACAAAAAUACUGUGGUGCGCGUUUUGUCGCUACCGUCUUUUCUCUGUCGUUUUGUAAACGGUUGGAUCAAACAAGUUUGGCAGGCUCUGAACAUGUCGAACACCAUCUGGUUUUGUGUGAAAAAAAAAUUAUGUAUUUUGCACGGUUCAGGGGAUUUGCAGUAGAUGCCAUGGAUUAAUCACCCCAAAGAGGCAAAGAGGACGCAUAUUUCUCUGAUACCGUCAUGACUGAUGACUCACGACCUUCAAUUUUAAGGUUCCGCAUGUCUUCUGGAUAGGAAAGAGGACCAUCAAUGUCAGCCCAUCAAUGAAAUCUCAACUAGAUGGGCUGACCGUAUCCGGCCUGCUCAACUGUACUGAAGCAGGCCAAAGUCUAGGUCUGUCUAUUGAGCCUGUUACCCUGACUAUUUGGGCAGUAUUUGCUGGACUGCAUCCGCAUGUAUGCUCUAUUGAGCCCCACCCAUCAUCUACUGAGUGAGGACUUUUCUGGGCUUGAUUUCAUUUACGGUUCAGGCCGUGUCCUUGGCUGUUUAUGUCAUCUGUGUCCCCUAUUAGCUGUUUUAGAUCAUUUUGUGGGAAUGUUCAAUAAUCUACUUAGUGACAUUUGAGUAUCCUUUGUAGCGCUAGUGUUACAUCUGCAGUCUGUCUAGCGGGAGAGGCGACAGUGUAGACUAGCAAAACAAGGGAGUCAAACCUCACUGUCUAAAAGAGAGUGCAAAAGCGUAGAAAUGCUCUCGUUUCCUAUCAGAGAAUAAGUCAAACAUACAUGGAGCAACAAUCAGGCAAGCACAUAGAAAAGCCACUUGGUGCAUGUUGGCUUUAUCCUCCCAAUUUAUCCUUGGACCUCUUUUUGCUUGUCUUUCAUGAAGCAACAAGAGAAGGCCCCCGGCCUA